This 270-nucleotide ribosomal RNA is filed under the name Clostridioides difficile. RNAcentral's name for it is "partial 23S ribosomal RNA". It matches the Rfam family "Bacterial large subunit ribosomal RNA", at positions 1488 to 1756 of the family's 2925-position model. Lineage: Bacteria; Bacillati; Bacillota; Clostridia; Peptostreptococcales; Peptostreptococcaceae. The record is from RNAcentral.
UAAGCACACUGUUGGUUAUGUGUGCCCAAGCAUUGAGGCAGUCAGAGUAGGUAAAUCCGCUUUGAUAAUGCUGGGAUGUGAUGGGGAGCGAAAUUUAGUAGCGAAGUAGCUGAUUUCACACUGUCAAGAAAAGUCUCUAUCGAGGUUAAAGGUACCCGUACCGUAAACCGACACAGGUGGGUGAGGAGAGUAUCCUAAGGCCCGCGAGAGAACUGUUGUUAAGGAACUCGGCAAAAUGACCCCGUAACUUAGGGAUAAGGGGUGCCACCA